This 466-nucleotide ribosomal RNA is filed under the name uncultured bacterium. RNAcentral's name for it is "bacterial SSU rRNA". It matches the Rfam family "Bacterial small subunit ribosomal RNA", at positions 926 to 1391 of the family's 1533-position model. The record is from RNAcentral.
CAAGCGGUGGAGCAUGUGGUUCAAUUCGACGCAACGCGAAGAACCUUACCUGGGCUCGAACGGCUUCUCAACGUUCGUGGAAACACGGAUAUCCCGCAAGGGAGUGGAGUCGAGGUGCUGCAUGGCUGUCGUCAGCUCGUGUCGUGAGAUGUUGGGUUAAGUCCCGCAACGAGCGCAACCCUUGCCCUGUUUUGCCAUCAUUAAGUUGGGAACUAUCAGGGGACCGCCAGCGAUAAGUUGGAGGAAGGUGGGGAUGACGUCAAGUCAUCAUGGCCUUUAUGUCCAGGGCUACACACGUGCUACAAUGGACGGUACAAAGCGCUGCUAAGCCGCGAGGUGGAGCUAAUCGCAAAAAACCGUUCUCAGUUCGGAUCGCAGGCUGCAACCCGCCUGCGUGAAGCUGGAAUCGCUAGUAAUGGCAGAUCAGCAUGCUGCCGUGAAUACGUUCCCGGGCCUUGUACACACC